This 440-nucleotide ribosomal RNA is filed under the name uncultured bacterium. Its description in RNAcentral is "partial 16S ribosomal RNA". It matches the Rfam family "Bacterial small subunit ribosomal RNA", at positions 338 to 795 of the family's 1533-position model. The record is from RNAcentral.
CCUACGGGGCGCAGCAGUGGGGAAUAUUGCACAAUGGGGGCAACCCUGAUGCAGCGACGCCGCGUGUGUGAAGAAGUACUUCGUUAUGUAAAGCUCUAUCAGCAGGGAAGAAGAUGACGGUACCUGUGAAAGAAGCACCGGCUAAAUACGGGACAGCCGCCGCGGUAAUACGUAUGGGGCAAGCGUUAUCCGGGUUUACUGGGUGUAAAGGGAGCGCAGGCGGCACGGCAAGCCUGAUGUGAAAGCCCGCGGCCCAACCGCGGGACUGCAUUGGGAACUACCGGGCUGGAGUGCCGGAGAGGUAGGCGGAAUUCCUAGUGUAGCGGUGAAAUGCGUAGAUAUUAGGAGGAACACCAGUGGCGAAGGCGGCCUACUGGACGGUGACUGACGCUGAGGCUCGAAAGCGUGGGGAGCAAACAGGAUUAGAUACCCGUGUAGUC